CCUACGGGAGGCAGCAGUGAGGAAUAUUGGUCAAUGGGCGGGAGCCUGAACCAGCCAAGCCGCGUGAGGGAAGAAGGUACAGCGUAUCGUAAACCUCUUUUGUCAGGGAACAAAGGCGGGGACUAGUCCCCGGAUGAGGGUACCUGAAGAAAAAGCCUCGGCUAACUCCGUGCCAGAAGCCGCGGUAAUACGGAGGAUGCGAGCUUUAUCCGGAUUUAUUGGGUUAAAAGGGUGCGCAGGCGGCCUGUUAAGUCAGCGGGAAAAGCCCGGGGCCCAACCCCGGCGAGCCGUUGAAACUGGCGGGCUGGAGUUGGAGAGAAGUACGCGGAAUGCGCGGUGUAGCGGUGAAAUGCUUAGAUAUCGCGCAGAACCCCGAUUGCGAAGGCAGCGUACCGGCUCCACACUGACGCUGAGGCACGAAAGCGUGGGUAUCGAACAGGAUUAGAUACCCCAGUAGUC
RNAcentral lists this ribosomal RNA (459 nucleotides) under uncultured bacterium. Its description in RNAcentral is "partial 16S ribosomal RNA". It matches the Rfam family "Bacterial small subunit ribosomal RNA", at positions 338 to 795 of the family's 1533-position model. The record is from RNAcentral.